RNAcentral lists this long non-coding RNA (523 nucleotides) under Pogona vitticeps (central bearded dragon). RNAcentral describes it as "lncRNA (ENSPVIG00000016863.1)". Lineage: Eukaryota; Metazoa; Chordata; Lepidosauria; Squamata; Agamidae. The record is from RNAcentral.
GACCAGAUCCAGCAAUAUGUCGAUUGUUAUAGGAUUGUCAUUACAGUAAUCAUUUUAAAAAGCUAUCCCUUAUAAAAAAUUGCUGCUUAUAAAGGUCUUUUCCUGUUUGGUGGUUCUCUUUAAGGGGCUCCUACUGAAGCUACAAUAAUUUUGGCUAGGAAAAAAUGCAAUAUAAAAGAAAUGCAAUAUAAUAUAAAUGGAGCUUUUUGAACAACAACUCACUAGUUAUGGAUAAUGAUUCUACCUCAGCGAUCAUGUGUGGAGAUUUCACCUUAUUUAUCCAACCUCUGCUUGUCUAAUUUCGUUCUUUCUGAAAUGACACUGGCAUUCUAUUCCUGUUCCCCCAACUAUUGCUAUUGUUGCUUCUGUGGUGGUGGUGUGACAUGAAGCCAUGUCCAACGUCCAAUGUUUGAUGACCCUACGGAUGAGUGACUUCUAAAAGAUCCUAUCAAUACCAACCUUCCUCAGCUCAAGGCUGUGGCUUCCUUUACUGUCCCUGGCUAUAGUGCUGGAAUGAAGAAAG